RNAcentral lists this ribosomal RNA (364 nucleotides) under uncultured bacterium. RNAcentral's name for it is "partial 16S ribosomal RNA". It matches the Rfam family "Bacterial small subunit ribosomal RNA", at positions 338 to 700 of the family's 1533-position model. The record is from RNAcentral.
CCUACGGGAGGCAGCAGUGAGGAAUAUUGGUCAAUGGGCGGGAGCCUGAACCAGCCAAGUCGCGUGAAGGAAGAAGGUACUGAGGAGUGUAAACUUCUGUUGUCGGGGAACAAAGGGGGAGACGCGUCUCCGGAUGAGUGUACCCGAAGAAAAAGCAUAGGGUAACUCCGUGCCAGCAGCCGCGGUAAUACGGAGGAUGCGAGCGUUCUCCGGAUUGAUUGGGUUUAAAGGGUGCGCAGGCGGGAGAUCAAGGCAGCGGGAAAAUGUCGGGGAUCAACCCCGGCCGGCCGUUUAAACUGGGUUUCUAGAGUUGGUGAGAAGUAUGCGGCAUUCGUGGUGUAGCGGUGACCUGCUUAGCUAUCAC